CACCUGCCUUCUCUUGGUGCCGCACAGUCUCCUCCAGCGCCUUCAUCUUCUGCAGCUUGCCCUGGUACUGCUUCAGCAGAGCGGCCUGUGGCUGCUGGGCCUGAUACAGAAGGAGCAGCUCCUUCUCUCGAUCAUUCUUCUCAGCUCACUCGAAUCAGCUCAUUCUGCAAAUGCUGCACCCUGUCCCUCAGUUUCUUCAUAUCCAGCUCACUCAGCAGCAGUUUCUGCUUCAUGGACACUCGGCUCCUCAGUAUGCGGUUCUCUCCUUCCAGGAUGCUGGCCUGUCUCCGCAGAGACAGGAUGUCCUCUGCCAUCUUCUGCAUGGCCCGCCGGAGCCCCCUUUUGUCUGUUUGAGUAAGAGCUGGCUAAAGGCUGAAGGAUAAUUAGUCCCUGGCAGGAGCCGAUGAAUGAGCAUUUUAUCUGAUUAAACUGGGAGUGAACUGG
Molecule: long non-coding RNA, 444 nt
Filed under: Homo sapiens (human)
Lineage: Eukaryota; Metazoa; Chordata; Mammalia; Primates; Hominidae
Description: long non-coding RNA NONHSAT171780
Source: RNAcentral